CCCAAAGUGAAGAGUCUCUCUCAGACUCCUUAUGCCUUACUAUUUCUACUCUGUGGAUUGAAAUAUUGUUUUGACUCAUUCAAAAGAUGAUGGGUUUAGGGUCUUUCGGUAAUGGGGGUUCCUCAUCAUCCUUCUCCAAUUUAUCACCUUUAGCUCCACCUUUUACUGUUGAUCGGUCCAAUUCCAAAACGGUUUCAACCCAAUUGUUGAAUUUCAGUGAUUCAUCCUAUACCGGUACAGUACCAUUUGGACAGUCAUGGCAGUAUGCUGCUGCUGACCCAUCACCCACUGGAUACAAUUUUUUCCCUUCAGUUACUGAUUCUGUGCCCACAACUUGUAAUAUGCCUUUAUCACCUGAGUUUACCCCUGCUGAUUCAGUGGAACCAGGUAGUCACUUUUGGUCAACUCCAAACCCAACUGUUAAUGCUUCGACUGAAACCUAUUCGUUUGGCCGUGAGGGAUAUUAUGCCGCUUAUGUGCCUUCCUUAGUGAGCAAUGAACACCCCUCAUCGGCUUUCAAUGAACCUUCGCUUGAUGUUUUGCCUAAUUCUGGUAAUAUUCAUGUGGAUGCAUCCUCCUCGCAAGUUGAUUAUACCCAGACCUUGUCUGGUUUGGAAUACCCGCAUUGGAGUUUUUUUAGUAAAGUGGCUGAUGGGAAGCAAGAAGAGAAGAAAGGAGUUGAUGGGAGUUUUUCCUCGGGGAAUGUUAAUGUUGGUGCUUCAUAUGGUUACAGGAAUUGCAUGUCUAAAGGUAAUUCCCUUGAAGGUGCGAACAUACCUAGAGAAAAUUCUGGUGCUGCAAAUUUUAUUGAUGGAGUAUAUACUGGGCCAUCAAGUAUAGGACAUAUGGAUGCCAAAUCGUAUCUCACUCAAGAACCAAUCUACCAGUCUCUUACUUCAGAAACAGCUAUGGGUUCAUUUAGCCCCGUGUCUUGCCAAGUGGGUCUUUCUUUAGGGUCUUCUAGUAAUUACUUGAACUAUAAAAACCCUUUUACUCCACAUGGGAAAUUCUUCCAACCCCUUGAUUCUUGUCCCCGUGAUACUACAUCCACAUCAAAAUCUUCUCCUGUAUUGGUUUUCAGACCAGCACCUUCUGGAAGCCGUUUCUUCGCACCUAAGAUAGACUUGCACAAAAAUGUGGAUAUUUGCAAAACUGGAGCUACAAACACUGAGAAAUCAGAUGUCUGUAACGUGUUAAAGAGUCAGGAAACUCGGUUACCAAUAGAUUCUCCGAUCAAAGAGUUUUCCUUGGGCUCAAGCACACCGCCGGACUUUGACAAGAUCAAAAACAAUUUUUUUGCAUCGUCGUCAGUUAACAAUCUGUGCUCGACCCGUCCUUGUAGCAGCAAUAGCAUAGAGAUUGCAGUUAAAGAAAGAUCUGGAUCUCAAGCUCCUUGCGCUAGUGCACCACCUGUGACUUCUGCUGAGAAAUGUUCAGAUGCUCUAGAUCUUCAUAACCCAAAUGUAGAUUCACCCUGCUGGAAAGGUGCUCCUGCUUUUCGUGUUUCUCUCAGCGACUCUGUUGAAGCUCCAAGCCCGUGCAUCUUAACA
RNAcentral lists this unclassified non-coding RNA (1550 nucleotides) under Hevea brasiliensis (rubber tree). Lineage: Eukaryota; Viridiplantae; Streptophyta; Magnoliopsida; Malpighiales; Euphorbiaceae. The record is from RNAcentral.